AGUGAACGCUGGCGGUAGGCCUAACACAUGCAAGUCGAACGGCAGCACAGUAAGAGCUUGCUCUUACGGGUGGCGAGUGGCGGACGGGUGAGGAAUACAUCGGAAUCUACUUUUUCGUGGGGGAUAACGUAGGGAAACUUACGCUAAUACCGCAUACGACCUACGGGUGAAAGCAGGGGAUCUUCGGACCUUGCGCGAUUGAAUGAGCCGAUGUCGGAUUAGCUAGUUGGCGGGGUAAAGGCCCACCAAGGCGACGAUCCGUAGCCGGUCUGAGAGGAUGAUCAGCCACACUGGAACUGAGACACGGUCCAGACUCCUACGGGAGGCAGCAGUGGGGAAUAUUGGACAAUAGGCGCAAGCCUGAUCCAGCCAUACCGCGUGGGUGAAGAAGGCCUUCGGGUUGUAAAGCCCUUUUGUUGGGAAAGAAAAGCAGCAGGUUAAUACCCCGCUGUUCUGACGGUACCCAAAGAAUAAGCACCGGCUAACUUCGUG
Molecule: ribosomal RNA, 492 nt
Filed under: uncultured bacterium
Lineage: Bacteria
Description: partial 16S ribosomal RNA
Rfam family: Bacterial small subunit ribosomal RNA
Source: RNAcentral